RNAcentral lists this ribosomal RNA (501 nucleotides) under uncultured bacterium. RNAcentral describes it as "partial 16S ribosomal RNA". It matches the Rfam family "Bacterial small subunit ribosomal RNA", at positions 30 to 523 of the family's 1533-position model. The record is from RNAcentral.
AUUGAACGCUGGCGGCAGGCUUAACACAUGCAAGUCGAGCGGGGUGAUGGUGCUUGCACUAUCACUUAGCGGCGGACGGGUGAGUAAUGCUUAGGAAUCUGCCUAUUAGUGGGGGACAACAUCUCGAAAGGGAUGCUAAUACCGCAUACGUCCUACGGGAGAAAGCAGGGGAUCUUCGGACCUUGCGCUAAUAGAUGCGCCUAAGUCGGAUUAGCUAGUUGGUGGGGUAAAGGCCUACCAAGGCGACGAUCUGUAGCGGGUCUGAGAGGAUGAUCCGCCACACUGGGACUGAGACACGGCCCAGACUCCUACGGGAGGCAGCAGUGGGGAAUAUUGGACAAUGGGGGAAACCCUGAUCCAGCCAUGCCGCGUGUGUGAAGAAGGCCUUAUGGUUGUAAAGCACUUUAAGCGAGGAGGAGGCUACCCUAGUUAAUACCUAGGGAUAGUGGACGUUACUCGCAGAAUAAGCACCGGCUAACUCUGUGCCAGCCGCCGCCGUAA